RNAcentral lists this ribosomal RNA (279 nucleotides) under uncultured bacterium. RNAcentral describes it as "partial 16S ribosomal RNA". It matches the Rfam family "Bacterial small subunit ribosomal RNA", at positions 506 to 784 of the family's 1533-position model. The record is from RNAcentral.
UGCCAGCAGCCGCGGUAAGACGUAGGAUGCAAGCGUUGUCCGGAUUUAUUGGGCGUAAAGAGUUCGUAGGCUGUUAAUUAAGUCUGGUGUUAAAUACCGUGGCCUAACCACGGAGCUGCAUCAGAUACUGGUUAACUUGAGUGCGGUAGAGGCGAGUGGAAUUCCCAGUGUAGCGGUGAAAUGCGUAGAUAUUGGGAAGAACACCAGUGGCGUAAGCGACUCGCUGGGCCGUAACUGACGCUGAGGCGCGAAGGCGUGGGUAGCGAACGGGAUUAGAUA